AUAACUGUCGGUCACUGGGGAGAUGCAGAAGCUGAUGCUAAGCCUUGCGAGGUUUCGAUCGGCAUUCGGGGUAAUAAGUGCCUAUCGGGAUGUCGCGGCGGUUGUCACGAGCUCGAUGGAAGUUCCGGGGCGUGACAUUGAAUUUGAAGGAAGGGACAAAAAGAACAUUUUCUAAUAUCAACUUUUGGACAAGUGCAUUGUUCCGAUAUGUGACUAUGGCUUUGGUCUUAUUUGGCAUUUAUACAAAUAAAUUGUGGAAUGGUUUGGAAAUACUACAUUGAUACAAAGAGCAUGCAAUAUAAUCAGUACCUAUUGUGUUUAGGAUGCAUGUGUCACAAGUUUAGUAUAGCCGUAUGAUUUGAAAUAGAAUUAACAAGUGAAGAACAACUAUGUUUAGAAAUUAUACCUGUAAAAGCUGAGUUAAUAAAGGAAGGCUUACUUUACUGAUGGUUUGAUAUAAAAGAUUCUUUAACACCUUCUGUAUCUUUUUGUUCAGUGAUGAGUGCCAUUAACCUUUGAAUUUGACCUUUAGUCAGAAAGAAUUAUGGAUUUGGACUUGCCACUGCAUCUUCAAAUUCUUCAUGAACUGAAUUAUCAAUUGCACUGUUAGCAACUGCAACUCCUUUUUUGAAAUUUCCUUUAGAGUCAAUUUGAAAUCCUUUAGAAAUCUUAUGUUUCUAUAACAACUUUCCUUUAAAUGUCCCUUUUUCUC
RNAcentral lists this long non-coding RNA (712 nucleotides) under Theobroma cacao (cacao). RNAcentral's name for it is "long non-coding RNA (TCAC_LNC003004)". The record is from RNAcentral. Lineage: Eukaryota; Viridiplantae; Streptophyta; Magnoliopsida; Malvales; Malvaceae.